This 1254-nucleotide long non-coding RNA is filed under the name Equus asinus (donkey). Its description in RNAcentral is "lncRNA (ENSEASG00005025793.1)". The record is from RNAcentral. Lineage: Eukaryota; Metazoa; Chordata; Mammalia; Perissodactyla; Equidae.
GGAGGCUUUUUUUCUCCUCAGAAAGCAAAUUAGUUAUUUUUCACUGUAGCCAUUUUUUAUUUUGAUAAAUGAGAAAUGACUGAAAGCAAGAACUGGAGAUGAACUCUCCUGAUCACAGCUCAUGAGGAGACCUCACAGUAACUUCCUCAGUGGCCAUUCAUUCAUGACCUACCCGCUACUCUUGAUCAGCACAGGUUACCGACAAGCCACAGCCCGCGGUGUCUUCCCAGCCCUGAUGCUCACAACCUCUCUGCAGCAUUUUGCAUGUAGGCCCUUCCUCCGUGAAACUUUUUCUGGCUUCUGUACCACUGAAUUCUUCUGAUUCUCCUCUUAUUUCUCUGAUGCUAAUUCUAUGCCUCUUUUGUUGGUUUCAAAUUCUCCUCUUUCCAUCUAAAUAUCAGUCUCCCUUUUCUUUCCAUAUUCUUCCCUUGCCCUCAAGCCCUAAUUCCCUCAUUGAAAUUUUUCUCAAAAUUGUAUCUAUCCCUGACCCUUCUUCUCAGCCUCAGACCUGUUUGUCAACUGCCUGGUGGACAUCCCCACCUCGACACCCCACGGACCUUAGAACCACAACAGCCCACUAACUAGUCACGUAACCCCCACAGGUCAGUUCCUUCAGGGUCUCCCCAGCUGGAAAACAAAGGAGCUUAACGGAAUUAUCUCCAAGCUUCCUCCUAAAUCUAUAAUAUGGUGAUUUCAUCAGAUGUGGAACUCAUCUUCUUCUCCCAUAAUAAGCUCUUUUUCUUGUCUUGUGCUUGACUCCUUCCAAAGUAGACUCAAGACCCCAAAGAUCUCUAGGCAUGGUUAAAAACAGAAAAACCAAAUCUGAACCAGGUCCUGCCUCAGCUCAGCGUUCAUCACACCUUCCGCCACCUCAGUAUCUCUCCGUCUGCCUCUUAGCUUUAUCUUCUCCUGGACACAGGAUAAUCCAGCUUGCAUUGAGGUGGUUCACUUAUGUUUCCUAAAUACCUACUCCCCAGAUUCACACCUCUGAGGCUUUUCUCAUGCUUUUCCUCCUCCUCAAACACUUCCUUUCACUCCCAAAUUCCUUUUCCUACUGGAAUCACACCCACUUUUCAAGACUCUUUUUUCCAUAAAAAGUAAGGUUUUCUGAUCCCAACAAAUCCAAAGCGUCUCGUGGACAUCUCUUAGAUGCUCUUUGCCAGUGGUUCUUAACCUUGGCUGUGCAUUUGAAUCACCUGGAAAGCUGUCCUGAAAUCCCAGUUCCCAGGCUACGCCGCAGACCAACUAAAUCAG